AUGGCGGCGAUGCGCGAGUGCAGGGCACGUCGGCAUGGUGGCGGUGGGCUGCGUGGUGGUGGAGCCCGUCGGGGCCGAGGCGGCCCGAUCUGGUCUGAUCCGGGGUCGAUUCUGGCGACGGAUGGCCUGGUGGCCGCUGGCGGCUCCUUCUGCUGCUCCUGGAGGUCUCCCUCCUGCCUCCAUGGGUGGGAGGGGUGGCUGUUGUGCGGCUGCGGGCAGGGUGGCUGCGCGUUCGUCCUGGAUCUUGUGCUGGUUCAUGGUGGGUGGCACGGGUGGGGCAGCGGCCUGGCGUGGCUGUUGCUCCGGCCGUGGGCGGCAGCACGGGGAGGUCUGGCGCAUGGCGGUGGCCUCCCGGGGGCGCAGCGGCUACACGGUGGCUCGGCGGCUCUGCCCACGGCGACGACCGGCUUUACUCCGGCGUUGACUUGUCUGCGGUCGGACCGUUUCGACCUUCGCUCCAUAUCCUCUUCGUCCGGGCAAUACUUUAGUCCAAGGGUUGGCCCUCUCCCAGCUGCGGUCCAUCGCUCGUCUCACGCCCGGGGCUACAGGACCGAGCUCCUCUUGCGCCCGGCAGCAAGACCGAGCUCAUCUCGCGCCCGGCGGCAUGACCAAGCUCGCCUCGCACUCGGCGCUGCGGGACGGGGCGAUGAAGGCCAGUUUUAUCUGGCCUAUUGGGUCUCAGCGCCGGGGGUCGUCCAGGGGUGCGAAAGAAAGACAGGGCCUUUCCGCUCGUCUCUUCGGUUGGGGUACGACCGGUCUCGGGUCAGGUGGUGCAUAGAUCUUGGAUGUCGGGGUGGCGGCCCUGGUGGUGGUAGCGCGGUGCAUUUGGGCACAACCCGCGGCUCGGUGCUGCCCGGUGACCAUGGCCGUGUGAGCAGCAUGGCAGCCGGGGUGUGGCGUUCGGUGGCGAUGAGUGUUGGCCGGGGUGAAAACCUAUUCUAUCUUUGGACAGACCGGCGGUGGCGAAGCUCGUCCCUUCUUGAAGGCGUCGCCACGGCUCUCAUCGCCCGUCGUGUUGCUCCAGGGUAA
This 1029-nucleotide ribosomal RNA is filed under the name Triticum aestivum (bread wheat). Its description in RNAcentral is "partial small subunit ribosomal RNA". Lineage: Eukaryota; Viridiplantae; Streptophyta; Magnoliopsida; Poales; Poaceae. The record is from RNAcentral.